This 29-nucleotide non-coding RNA is filed under the name Trypanosoma brucei brucei. The record is from RNAcentral. Lineage: Eukaryota; Euglenozoa; Kinetoplastea; Trypanosomatida; Trypanosomatidae.
UAUCAUAUAGACUGUGUGAGAAUUAUUGU